AUGUCCAGCGACGCCAAACGCGCAGCCGCCGAGAAGACCGAGGCCGACAAGAAGGCCGCCGAGGACGCUUCUGCUGCUACUGCCACUGCGGCGGCGGCUUCUGCAUGGCCUACUGGAGGGUAUACCGCGUUUAUCCCUCUCCUGAUAAUUUCUGUAUUAGCAGUGCUAGCAUCAUGUGUAGAUUUGUCUACUAUUUGCGUAGUACGUGCUUGUUUAGAUCAGUACCAGUAUGUUGUUAGUUCUGUCAAUGACAUGCUAGUUAUCUACUUAUGGAUUAAAUUAGUCGAAAAAUUGUCUAUUUUCUUAGCAGUUAGAUACUACGUAUAG
RNAcentral lists this ribosomal RNA (327 nucleotides) under Triticum aestivum (bread wheat). RNAcentral describes it as "partial small subunit ribosomal RNA". The record is from RNAcentral. Lineage: Eukaryota; Viridiplantae; Streptophyta; Magnoliopsida; Poales; Poaceae.